Molecule: ribosomal RNA, 279 nt
Filed under: uncultured bacterium
Lineage: Bacteria
Description: partial 16S ribosomal RNA
Rfam family: Bacterial small subunit ribosomal RNA
Source: RNAcentral
UGCCAGCCGCCGCGGUAAUACGGAGGGGGUUAGCGUUGUUCGGAAUUACUGGGCGUAAAGCGCUCGUAGGCGGAUUGGUCAGUCAGAGGUGAAAGCCCAGGGCUCAACCUUGGAAUUGCCUUUGAUACUGCCAGUCUUGAGUUCGGGAGAGGUGAGCGGAAUUCCCAGUGUAGAGGUGAAAUUCGUAGAUAUUGGGAAGAACACCAGUGGCGAAGGCGGCUAACUGGCUCGGUACUGACGCUGAGAUGCGAAAGCGUGGGGAGCAAACAGGAUUAGAUA